Molecule: unclassified non-coding RNA, 332 nt
Filed under: soil metagenome
Description: partial contains 5.8S ribosomal RNA, internal transcribed spacer 2, and large subunit ribosomal RNA
Rfam family: 5.8S ribosomal RNA (bases 1-120)
Source: RNAcentral
GAUGAAGAACGUAGCAAAAUGCGAUAAGUAAUGUGAAUUGCAGAAUUCAGUGAAUCAUCGAAUCUUUGAACGCACAUUGCGCCCGCCAGUAUUCUGGCGGGCAUGCCUGUUCGAGCGUCAUUUCAACCCUCAAGCACAGCUUGGUGUUGGGACUCGCGUUAAUUCGCGUUCCCCAAAUUGAUUGGCGGUCACGUCGAGCUUCCAUAGCGUAGUAGUAAAACCCUCGUUACUGGUAAUCGUCGCGGCCACGCCGUUAAACCCCAACUUCUGAAUGUUGACCUCGGAUCAGGUAGGAAUACCCGCUGAACUUAAGCAUAUCAAUGAGCGGAGGA